AUUGAACGCUGGCGGCAGGCCUAACACAUGCAAGUCGAGCGAGCGGCGGACGGGUGAGUAAUGUAUGGGGAACUGCCUGAUAGAGGGGGAUAACUACUGGAAACGGUGGCUAAUACCGCAUACUAUCGGAUGUGCCCAGAUGGGAUUAGCUAGUAGGUGGGGUAAUGGCUCACCUAGGCGACGAUCUCUAGCUGGUCUGAGAGGAUGACCAGCCACACUGGGACUGAGACACGGUCCAGACUCCUACGGGAGGCAGCAGUGGGGAAUAUUGCACAAUGGGCGCAAGCCUGAUGCAGCCAUGCCGCGUGUAUGAAGAAGGCCUUAGGGUUGUAAAGUACUUUCAGCGGGGAGGCGUUACCCGCAGAAGAAGCACCGGCUAACUCCGUGCCAGCAGCCGCGGUAAUAC
RNAcentral lists this ribosomal RNA (406 nucleotides) under uncultured bacterium. RNAcentral describes it as "partial 16S ribosomal RNA". It matches the Rfam family "Bacterial small subunit ribosomal RNA", at positions 30 to 526 of the family's 1533-position model. The record is from RNAcentral.